GUAGGUGAACCUGCGGAAGGAUCAUUAACACGUUUGUUGUUGUAUUUGGGUUAUCAUUAAUUUGAUGAUCUGAAUCAAUAAUACUUAUUUAUUAACCUAAACGAAAGUGUUUAUUGUUAUAUCAUUCAAUGAUAUACUUCUCAUUUUUCCUAUUCUCUACACAAAAAACACCAAUAAUCCGUAUCAAACUGGCAGAUUGAAAACA
RNAcentral lists this unclassified non-coding RNA (205 nucleotides) under plant metagenome. Its description in RNAcentral is "partial contains small subunit ribosomal RNA, internal transcribed spacer 1, and 5.8S ribosomal RNA". The record is from RNAcentral.